RNAcentral lists this ribosomal RNA (673 nucleotides) under uncultured bacterium. Its description in RNAcentral is "bacterial SSU rRNA". It matches the Rfam family "Bacterial small subunit ribosomal RNA", at positions 125 to 818 of the family's 1533-position model. The record is from RNAcentral.
UGUACCUCUUAGUCUGGGAUAGCCACUGGAAACGGUGAUUAAUACUAGAUACUCCUUUUCAUCACAGGGUGAAAUGGGAAAGUUUUUUCGCUAAGAGAUCGGUCUAUAUCCUAUCAGUUAGUUGGUGAGGUAAUGGCUCACCAAGGCAAUGACGGGUAGCGGGUCUGAGAGGAUGAUCCGCCACACUGGUACUGAGACACGGACCAGACUCCUACGGGAGGCAGCAGUGAGGAAUAUUGCACAAUGGAGGAAACUCUGAUGCAGCAACGCCGCGUGGAGGAUGACGCAUUUCGGUGUGUAAACUCCUUUUAUGAGUCAAGAAAAUGACGGUAGCUCAUGAAUAAGCACCGGCUAACUACGUGCCAGCAGCCGCGGUAAUACGUAGGGGGCAAGCGUUAUCCGGAUUUACUAGGUGUAAAGGGAGCGUAGGCGGCUUGGCAAGUCUGAUGUGAAAGCCCAGGGCUCAACCCUGGGACUGCAUUGGAAACUGUCAGGCUAAAGUGCAGGAGAGGUAAGUGGAAUUCCUAGUGUAGCGGUGAAAUGCGUAGAUAUUAGGAGGAACACCAGUGGCGAAGGCGGCUUACUGGACUGUAACUGACGCUGAGGCUCGAAAGCGUGGGGAGCAAACAGGAUUAGAUACCCUGGUAGUCCACGCUGUAAACGAUGAAUACUA